GACUGAACGCUGGCGGCAGGCCUAACACAUGCAAGUCGAACGGUAACAGGAAGAAGCUUGCUUCUUUGCUGACGAGUGGCGGACGGGUGAGUAAUGUCUGGGAAACUGCCUGAUGGAGGGGGAUAACUACUGGAAACGGUAGCUAAUACCGCAUAACGUCGCAAGACCAAAGAGGGGGACCUUCGGGCCUCUUGCCAUCGGAUGUGCCCAGAUGGGAUUAGCUAGUAGGUGGGGUAACGGCUCACCUAGGCGACGAUCCCUAGCUGGUCUGAGAGGAUGACCAGCCACACUGGAACUGAGACACGGUCCAGACUCCUACGGGAGGCAGCAGUGGGGAAUAUUGCACAAUGGGCGCAAGCCUGAUGCAGCCAUGCCGCGUGUAUGAAGAAGGCCUUCGGGUUGUAAAGUACUUUCAGCGGGGAGGAAGGGAGUAAAGUUAAUACCUUUGCUCAUUGACGUUACCCGCAGAAGAAGCACCGGCUAACUCCGUGCCAGCAGCCGCGGUAAU
RNAcentral lists this ribosomal RNA (508 nucleotides) under uncultured bacterium. RNAcentral describes it as "bacterial SSU rRNA". It matches the Rfam family "Bacterial small subunit ribosomal RNA", at positions 27 to 524 of the family's 1533-position model. The record is from RNAcentral.